CCUACGGGGGGCUGCAGUGGGGAAUAUUGGACAAUGGGGGGAACCCUGAUCCAGCCAUGCCGCGUGUGUGAAGAAGGCCCUCGGGUUGUAAAGCACUUUCAGUGAGGAAGAACGCCUGGUGGUUAAUACCCAUCAGGAAAGACAUCACUCACAGAAGAAGCACCGGCUAACUCCGUGCCAGCAGCCGCGGUAAUACGGAGGGUGCGAGCGUUAAUCGGAAUUACUGGGCGUAAAGCGCGCGUAGGUGGCUUGAUAAGCCGGUUGUGAAAGCCCCGGGCUCAACCUGGGAACGGCAUCCGGAACUGUCAAGCUAGAGUGCAGGAGAGGAAGGUAGAAUUCCAGGUGUAGCGGUGAAAUGCGUAGAGAUCGGGAGGAAUACCAGUGGCGAAGGCGGCCUUCUGGACUGACACUGACACUGAGGUGCGAAAGCGUGGGUAGCAAACAGGAUUAGAUACCCCUGUAGUC
RNAcentral lists this ribosomal RNA (465 nucleotides) under Vreelandella stevensii. RNAcentral describes it as "partial 16S ribosomal RNA". It matches the Rfam family "Bacterial small subunit ribosomal RNA", at positions 338 to 795 of the family's 1533-position model. The record is from RNAcentral. Lineage: Bacteria; Pseudomonadati; Pseudomonadota; Gammaproteobacteria; Oceanospirillales; Halomonadaceae.